Molecule: ribosomal RNA, 165 nt
Filed under: uncultured bacterium
Lineage: Bacteria
Description: partial 16S ribosomal RNA
Rfam family: Bacterial small subunit ribosomal RNA
Source: RNAcentral
UGGGGAAGUAUUGCGCAAUGGGCGGAAAGCCUGACGCAGCGACGCCGCGUGAGGGAUGAAGGUCUUCGGAUCGUAAACCCUCUGUCAGCAGGGAAGAACGGUCACUGUGCUAAUCAGCAGUGAAUUGACGGUACCUGCAAAGGAAGCACCGGCUAACUCCGUGCC